GAUGCGCGUCCCUUCACUAUCCCACCCCACUGUGAACCAAGCGUCGUGGACCGAAGAGAGAUCGGAAGUCUGCGCGCACAUUUCAACAUACCCCAAUGAAGUAUUCAGAAUGUACCUUGCGUUAACUCGCACAAAUACAACUUUCAACAACGGAUCUCUUGGCUCUCGCAUCGAUGAAGAACGCAGCGAAAUGCGAUAAGUAAUGUGAAUUGCAGAAUUCAGUGAAUCAUCGAAUCUUUGAACGCACCUUGCGCCCCUUGGCAUUCCGAGGGGCACGCCUGUUCGAGUGUCGUGAACUCCUCCACUCCUUACCUUUUUCGAAGGGUACGGGGCUGGGAUUUGGGAGCUUGCGGGUCCCUGGCCGAUCCGCUCUCCUUGAAUGCAUUAGCAGAGCCCUCGCGGCCUUGGUGUGAUAGACAUCUACGCCUCGGUGCAGCGCAUGAAUGG
Molecule: ribosomal RNA, 447 nt
Filed under: Peniophora pithya
Lineage: Eukaryota; Fungi; Basidiomycota; Agaricomycetes; Russulales; Peniophoraceae
Description: eukaryotic LSU rRNA
Rfam family: 5.8S ribosomal RNA (bases 139-292)
Source: RNAcentral